ACACGGAGGGUGCAAGCGUUAUUCGGAAUCACUGGGCGUAAAGGACGCGUAGGCGGGUUGGCAAGUCAGAUGUGAAAUCCUACAGCUUAACUGUAGAACUGCAUUUGAAACUGCUAACCUAGAGUAUGGGAGGGGGAGAUGGAAUUAGUGGUGUAGAGGUAAAAUCCGUAGAUAUCACUAGGAAUACCGAAAGCGAAGGCGAUCUCCUGGAACAUAACUGACGCUAAGGCGUGAAAGCGUGGGGAGCAAACAGGAUUAGAAACCCCAGUAGUCC
This 274-nucleotide ribosomal RNA is filed under the name uncultured bacterium. RNAcentral's name for it is "partial 16S ribosomal RNA". It matches the Rfam family "Bacterial small subunit ribosomal RNA", at positions 523 to 796 of the family's 1533-position model. The record is from RNAcentral.